CGCACAUUGCGCCCCUUGGCAUUCCGAGGGGCAUGCCUGUUCGAGCGUCAUUAUCACCACUCAAGCUCUGCUUGGUUCUGGAUCGCGCCGGUAGCGGCUGAUCUUAAAUUCAGUGGCGGCCUCUAUAGGUUCUUCGCGUAGUACAUCUCUCGCGUAGACGCUGUAGAUCGUCGACCAAAAACCCUUUCUUUAGGUUGACCUCGGAUCAGGUAGGAAUACCCGCUGAACUUAA
Molecule: unclassified non-coding RNA, 232 nt
Filed under: Sarea sp.
Lineage: Eukaryota; Fungi; Ascomycota; Sareomycetes; Sareales; Zythiaceae
Description: partial contains 5.8S ribosomal RNA, internal transcribed spacer 2, and large subunit ribosomal RNA
Source: RNAcentral